This is a non-coding RNA of Mus caroli (Ryukyu mouse), 680 nucleotides long. NCBI's taxonomy places the organism in Eukaryota, Metazoa, Chordata, Mammalia, Rodentia, Muridae. The record is from RefSeq and is a predicted model, not a curated record.
AUGGAAGCAUGCCAUCCAAAGAGUCUUCUAGAAGCUCAGACCCCAGACCAGUGGCAGUAAGGAAUGGGACAUAUGAAUGCUGCACCUCAGCUAGGACACACCUCCCUUCCCACCACCACCCCCCAAAUCACUUUGUUCCCCGUCCCCCUCUCUCUUCAAUGUCUUCCACAUUCCCCUGCCUUCCUUUCAGGCUAGUAACUCCCAGAUCCCAGUCCCUCUGGGAGGGCUGAAUCUGCUUGUUCAUGGGUUGGGAGCUACCAGGGGAAGUCAGGGACACCACCAAGGGGACCAUCUGCCUCUCACACUGCCAGUCCUGCUCAGGCCUCAGAAAGUCACAAUCAAGGACCAACACACAACAUCCUUCCUGAAACCCAGCAUCCAGUAUGCAAAUUAAGUAUCCCCAAGCUGACUCGGAGUCUAUUUUUCUAUCAGAGAACAAAGUCCCCUGCUCCCACCACAUUCCCAUACCCUCCACACUUCAAGAUUGGAUUCUGAGCUUAGACCUGGGGUACCCCGCUCCACCUCUCAGUCUUUAGGGGAACCUCAUCAAUGGACUGAGAGGAAAACUGGGAUGUUGGGGGGCAUGGUUUCCACCUCUCCCUCCAACCUACACCAAGUCCUACCUCCCUGCCCAUGUGUGUCAUUUCAAGGAAAAAAAGAAUAAAUUUUCUAAGCUAUUA